Molecule: ribosomal RNA, 484 nt
Filed under: uncultured bacterium
Lineage: Bacteria
Description: partial 16S ribosomal RNA
Rfam family: Bacterial small subunit ribosomal RNA
Source: RNAcentral
AUUGAACGCUGGCGGCAGGCCUAACACAUGCAAGUCGAGCGGAUGAAGGGAGCUUGCUCCUGGAUUCAGCGGCGGACGGGUGAGUAAUGCCUAGGAAUCUGCCUGGUAGUGGGGGAUAACGUCCGGAAACGGGCGCUAAUACCGCAUACGUCCUGAGGGAGAAAGUGGGGGAUCUUCGGACCUCACGCUAUCAGAUGAGCCUAGGUCGGAUUAGCUAGCUGGUGGGGUAAAGGCCUACCAAGGCGAGGAUCCGUAACUGGUCGGAGAGGAUGAUCAGUCACACUGGAACUGAAACACGGUCCAGACUCCUACGGGAGGCAGCAGUGGGGAAUAUUGGACAAUGGGCGAAAGCCUGAUCCAGCCAUGCCGCGUGUGUGAAGAGGGUCUUCGGAUUGUAAAGCACUUUAAGUUGGUAGAAAGGGCAGUAAGUUAAUACCUUGCUUUUUUGACGUUACCAACAGAAUAAGCACCGGCUAACUUCGUG